CAGCCGCCGCGGGAAUACGAAGGGUGCAAGCGUUACUCGGAAUUACUGGGCGUAAAGCGUGCGUAGGUGGUGGUUUAAGUCUGUUGUGAAAGCCCUGGGCUCAACCUGGGAAUUGCAGUGGAUACUGGGUCACUAGAGUGUGGUAGAGGAUAGUGGAAUUUCCGGUGUAGCAGUGAAAUGCGUAGAGAUCGGAAGGAACAUCUGUGGCGAAGGCGACUAUCUGGGCCAACACUGACACUGAGGCACGAAAGCGUGGGGAGCAAACAGGAUUAGAUACCCCCGUAGUCCCUGUCUCUUAUAA
RNAcentral lists this ribosomal RNA (301 nucleotides) under uncultured bacterium. Its description in RNAcentral is "partial 16S ribosomal RNA". It matches the Rfam family "Bacterial small subunit ribosomal RNA", at positions 509 to 809 of the family's 1533-position model. The record is from RNAcentral.